RNAcentral lists this ribosomal RNA (806 nucleotides) under uncultured Flavobacteriaceae bacterium. RNAcentral's name for it is "bacterial SSU rRNA". It matches the Rfam family "Bacterial small subunit ribosomal RNA", at positions 56 to 857 of the family's 1533-position model. The record is from RNAcentral. Lineage: Bacteria; Pseudomonadati; Bacteroidota; Flavobacteriia; Flavobacteriales; Flavobacteriaceae.
UGCAGUCGAGGGGUAACAGAGAGAAGCUUGCUUCUUUGCUGACGACCGGCGCACGGGUGCGUAACGCGUAUACAAUCUACCUUUUGCUGAGGGAUAGCCCAGAGAAAUUUGGAUUAAUACCUCAUAGUAUAUAUGAAUCACAUGGUUUAUAUAUUAAAGGUUACGGCAGAAGAUGAGUAUGCGUUCUAUUAGCUAGAUGGUGUGGUAACGGCACACCAUGGCAACGAUAGAUAGGGGCCCUGAGAGGGGGAUCCCCCACACUGGUACUGAGACACGGACCAGACUCCUACGGGAGGCAGCAGUGAGGAAUAUUGGACAAUGGGCGAGAGCCUGAUCCAGCCAUGCCGCGUGCAGGAAGACUGCCCUAUGGGUUGUAAACUGCUUUUAUACAGGAAGAAACACUCCCUCGUGAGGGAGCUUGACGGUACUGUAAGAAUAAGGAUCGGCUAACUCCGUGCCAGCAGCCGCGGUAAUACGGAGGAUCCAAGCGUUAUCCGGAAUCAUUGGGUUUAAAGGGUCCGUAGGUGGAUAAUUAAGUCAGAGGUGAAAGUCUGCAGCUCAACUGUAGAAUUGCCUUUGAUACUGGUUAUCUUGAAUUAUUAUGAAGUAGUUAGAAUAUGUAGUGUAGCGGUGAAAUGCAUAGAUAUUACAUAGAAUACCAAUUGCGAAGGCAGAUUACUAAUAAUAUAUUGACACUGAUGGACGAAAGCGUGGGGAGCGAACAGGAUUAGAUACCCUGGUAGUCCACGCCGUAAACGAUGGAUACUAGCUGUUCGGAUUUGCAGUCGAGUGCAGUCGAGAGUGAU